UCGAUUUUCCACCGGGCCCCUUGAUGGUAACAGUCACUUCCCCCCCCCCCUCCCCCCAAGUGUUAACCCUAGAAGAACAACACGAUCCACCGCGGGACAUCACUCCAACAUUCAUCGCCUGCCACACCCGGGGGCUGCAGGACCCCCUAGUGUCAAUUCGAUUUUAGCCCUUCAUAGGCCCUGGCUUUAAAAGUGCAUUGUCGGGACGACAAUGAAAAAAAACAGGGGGUAGAUGUGAGGGGCUGGCCUGUAAAUCCAAAGCACCGCCCUGUUAGGUAGAGUCAGAGGGAGCUCCCCGCCUUCAUAAGGACAGGUGAGGGCAAUUAGUGCCUCUUUGUCUGAGGCCUGGUUGUGUGGCAGGAUUGCUGUGUCGUGCAGUGGUGGUGACUGUCCUGAGUGAUCCAGAUGGAGCAUGCUCUGUAGCCCUGUGCUGAAGAGGUAUGUCUCAGUGAACUUUGGGGCUUCAUUAAACCGUAGCUAUAUCACUAAUAUGAUAAAAUCUCUUUAGGCAAAGACUCAGCUCCUCCAUCUCCCCUUUUAAGCCAGAGUAGAGCUUUUCAACUGUUGCAUUGCUUCUUAGCAGAGCCCCACAUGUACAAGGUAACUGAAACCAGUAUGGUAAGGUAGGAGGGUCAUGCCCUCUGAGGUAUGUUGUUGUCAGCUGAUGAGACUGACUUUUGUUAUGUUUUCUUUCCCCUUAUUGCAGAUUUAAGGCCAGACUGCUGCUUUGCCUGAGCCAGUUCGCCAAGGCGGUUGGCGAAUGUGUUACAGACUGUACAACUUACAUAAUCUGUAGAUGGUUGAAUAUUGUCUUUUUUAUAUUGGGUGUAGUGACCCUGAAUGUCUGUGAAUCUGAACCAACUGAAUCUCACUGUAUUUUCCGUCUUUUGUUUGAUUAGGCAGUGGGACGACCUGCGGGGAGUAGUCGUGGGAUAUGCACCCCUCCUUGCAUGCAGUGUGGUAUGUUUGAAGGGUAGUGGUCACGUCAUUGGUUUGUAGGUUUGACUUUCCUUGCAGUGCAAGUUGUAGUGUUUGUAGUGAUCAGUGUGCACACAAGGUGAUUUCUAUUGGGUGAUAAAGUCUCGCCGCGGUGAGUACCCUGUUCUGCCUAUUCCUCGCGAUCAUUUAAUCUUAUUGUAUUUUAUGUUAUGGUGAAGCCAUUUGCUAUUUAUAUACUGGUUGUUUCGACCAUUUUAGUAUUGUGGAAUAAACUAAUUUUGACUA
Molecule: long non-coding RNA, 1224 nt
Organism: Dicentrarchus labrax (European seabass)
Lineage: Eukaryota; Metazoa; Chordata; Actinopteri; Moronidae
Exons: 2
Source: RefSeq, a predicted model, not a curated record